CAACGAUGAAGAGUUUGAUCCUGGCUCAGGAUGAACGCUAGCGGCAGGCCUAACACAUGCAAGUCGAGGGGCAGCAUAGAUUGCUUGCAAUCUGAUGGCGACCGGCGCAC
RNAcentral lists this ribosomal RNA (110 nucleotides) under Kordia sp. TARA_039_SRF. RNAcentral describes it as "partial 16S ribosomal RNA". It matches the Rfam family "Bacterial small subunit ribosomal RNA", at positions 1 to 103 of the family's 1533-position model. The record is from RNAcentral. Lineage: Bacteria; Pseudomonadati; Bacteroidota; Flavobacteriia; Flavobacteriales; Flavobacteriaceae.